Molecule: ribosomal RNA, 445 nt
Filed under: uncultured bacterium
Lineage: Bacteria
Description: partial 16S ribosomal RNA
Rfam family: Bacterial small subunit ribosomal RNA
Source: RNAcentral
GUGAGGAAUAUUGGUCAAUGGGCGGGAGCCUGAACCAGCCAAGUCGCGUGAAGGAAGAAGGAUCUAUGGUUCGUAAACUUCUUUUGCAGGGGAAUAAAGUGCAGGACGUGUCCUGUUUUGUAUGUACCCUGAGAAUAAGGAUCGGCUAACUCCGUGCCAGCAGCCGCGGUAAUACGGAGGAUCCGAGCGUUAUCCGUAUUUAUUGGGUUUAAGGGGUGCGUAGGUGGUUUGAUAAGUCAGCGGUGAAAGUUUGCAGCUUAACUGUAAAAAUGCCGUUGAAACUGUCGGACUGGAGUGUAGAUGAGGUAGGCGGAAUGCGUGGUGUAGCGGUGAAAUGCAUAGAUAUCACGCAGAACUCCGAUUGCGAAGGCAGCUUACUAAGCUACAACUGACACUGAAGCACGAAAGCGUGGGGAUCAAACAGGAUUAGAAACCCCGGUAGUCC